This 102-nucleotide ribosomal RNA is filed under the name Potentilla erecta. Its description in RNAcentral is "partial 5.8S ribosomal RNA". It matches the Rfam family "5.8S ribosomal RNA", at positions 58 to 154 of the family's 154-position model. Rfam says of the family: 5.8S ribosomal RNA (5.8S rRNA) is a component of the large subunit of the eukaryotic ribosome. It is transcribed by RNA polymerase I as part of the 45S precursor that also contains 18S and 28S rRNA. The record is from RNAcentral. Lineage: Eukaryota; Viridiplantae; Streptophyta; Magnoliopsida; Rosales; Rosaceae.
AUACUUGGUGUGAAUAGCAGAAUCCCGUGAACCAUCGAGUUUUUGAACGCAAGUUGCGCCCGAAGMCAUUAGGCCGAGGGAACGUCUGCCUGGGCGUCACAC